AUCACUUCUCAGCCUUUUGGCUAAGAUCAAGUGUAGUAUCUGUUCUUAUCAGUUUAAAAAUCAAGUGAAUAAAUAAUCUGAUGAACAGAAUAAACUGGUGAUUAUAAUAGAAUCAGGGGCAUAGAAAGGGAGUGGAUUGACUAUUC
RNAcentral lists this small nuclear RNA (146 nucleotides) under Myotis lucifugus (little brown bat). RNAcentral's name for it is "U2 spliceosomal RNA". It matches the Rfam family "U2 spliceosomal RNA". Rfam says of the family: U2 is a small nuclear RNA (snRNA) component of the spliceosome (involved in pre-mRNA splicing). Complementary binding between U2 snRNA (in an area lying towards the 5' end but 3' to hairpin I) and the branchpoint sequence (BPS) of the intron results the bulging out of an unpaired adenosine, on the BPS, which initiates a nucleophilic attack at the intronic 5' splice site, thus starting the first of two transesterification reactions that mediate splicing. Lineage: Eukaryota; Metazoa; Chordata; Mammalia; Chiroptera; Vespertilionidae. The record is from Rfam by way of RNAcentral.